RNAcentral lists this ribosomal RNA (454 nucleotides) under uncultured bacterium. Its description in RNAcentral is "bacterial LSU rRNA". It matches the Rfam family "Bacterial large subunit ribosomal RNA", at positions 152 to 607 of the family's 2925-position model. The record is from RNAcentral.
CGCAUGGUGAAUAUAUAGCCAUGGCGUGGGGAACUCGGGGAACUGAAACAUCUAAGUACCCGGAGGAAAAGAGACAAUUCCGUAAGUAGUGGCGAGCGAAAGCGGAGAAGCCCAAACCAGGAUGGCUUCGGCUGUGCUGGGGUUGUAGGACAGACAGGAUGGUAAAGUGGAUAGUGGAACGGUAUUGGGAAAGCCGACCGAAGAGGGUGAAAGUCCCGUACACGAAAUCGACGUAGCCAGGUCUGUAUCCUGAGUAGUGCGGGGCACGCUAACCCUGCAUGAAACUGGGGGGCCCACCCUCCAAGGCUAAAUACACUUGACGACCGAAAGUGAACAAGUACCGUGAGGGAAAGGUGAAAAAGCACCCCAGCUAGGGGAGUGAAAUAGAACCUGAAACCGUGCACUUACAAGCAGUCAGAGCCUGAUGCCGCGAGGCCGGGUGAUGGCGUGCCUC